AUGAUGGGGAGACGUUAUCAGGUCCAUGUAGGUUGGGAUGAGGUGGAUUAGAUAAUGAUCCGAAAAACCCAGAGCAGCCCUGGUAACCCUAUGGACCCUGAAGAAGCUCAGCAGAUCGAUGUGAAAGGUUCCACAAUGGUGAUGAGAUGACUUGGCAUUGAUUUGCAUGGCCUUUAAAGCCACAUUGGGCUGUGCCAAUGUCUGAAGCCUCUGGAUAUGGAAAGCACGUUUUGAAACGUUGUGCCACCGCCAUGCCCAUUAUGAAAACCAUUGCCACUGAAUAACGAUAAUGUCAAAUGACGGUCUCUCUCCAUGUUUAUGUUGAAAUUCAAUAAAAACCUCAUUAAACUUGAGUGUUUGUCAUCUGUGUACAUGGAGUCUUUUUAAUCACUAAUCAUGGUGUAUUGUCCCACAGUGGGGACAUUCAGGAGUACCAGCAAGAAAGUAAAGGCGUACAGAUUCACAUGAAGGUAAAAAUAUGAAAUCAAAAACUACGAAGAUACCGUACAGUUAUUAAAACUAGCAUUCUCAGAAGGGUGAUAAAGUAGAUAAAGUAGGGUGAUUAUUAAAAUAUACAAAAUGUGUAUGUAUAAUUGUGCAUAAACAAUGUGAAAGUCUCAGCAAAUAACAGCAGGUGAGUAUAUCCACUGAGACCGAGAUGGGCCGGAUUUGGAUCAUUGAACGUUUGGUUAGUUUGUCUCUAGUUCUUGGUUUCCAGGAGUCUCUCAGGCAGACAGGUGAAGGAUGGCGAAGAGAUGGUGAGGAAACUCAAGAACUGAUUUCCUGGAGAUGAGAACCAUGAACAGCUAAACUCCUCAUGAUAAGCCUCAAUGGGCUUCAGAAAGCAAUCAGGAGACCGGUGAAGUUUUACAAGAGGUUUUAUUUUACGGUGAGCAGGUAAAGGGAAGUGGAGCUGGAACCGGAAGACAACUGUAAGGGAGUGGAGUUUGAUCCGCCAGGAGGGGGUGAGACAACAAUGGAACUGCACACUGAGAUGAACGGAGCUGGUAGAUACUUGGACUCACUUUGAGACUGUGGAAAAAGACACUGAUGACUCGAUGCUACAGAGCUGGUUCAAAUGGAGAUGGUGAAACUCAACUCGUCUCCCCGCCUCCAACGGACCGGACUACAGAAACUAAAAUCCACAGAGGUGGAGAGGAUCUGGUGUUGGGAAAGCUGCGAUCAUGAUAAUAAAAGCUCCAGAAAAUGCCUACCUCCAGGAAGACUUUAUAAUGCACAGAAGAAGAAAAUGUAAAAACUGAACUGUGAAUUGAACGUUCCCUAUCUUUCUGUCUUUUAUUUUCUGGUCUUCAAACAUGCAGUUAUAGAAACUGAAAAUUAUUCUGCUAUAGAACAAUGUUCUGUCGUAGUUAAAUCAUUACAUAAAAGUAUAGGUUUACAGUUAUGUUAAAUAGCUUCAUAUUAUGUGCUUACAUUUUGUAUUUACUCAUGUUUUCAUUUAUCAUUCAACAUGUCUUAUAAUUUUGUGUUAUUUAUGGUUACAGUUGAAAGACUCCAUAGCAUCUCUUAAUUAUUCUUUAGAAUGAUUUUCAACUACUCUCAAGUAUUAAGAAACAGUUAGCAAACUUAAUUUUUCCUGCCUUAAUAAUAUUUUGCUGCUAAACACUUAAGUGACAUGCCAGGUAGGGUGUGCUUACUUUGGGCCGUGGUUGACAGGUAAUCGCUCGGACCGGGGAGGAUUGUAGGGGAAUUUUUCCUGUGAAGAUCAGCCGGCAGGUUUUUUCGACCCUACACAAAGUGAGCAUGCCCUCAUAAUAUUCAGGCCAGAAAGGAAAGUCAUGCUGAAGUAAUCAUUCAUAUUUUUAUUUGGUCAAUGCCAUCAAGAGAUGGUAUGCAGACAUGGAGCUACUAUAGUAUAUUACUGCAGUGUACUACAUUUACUCUGUUAUUUUGUUAAGGUUUAAAUAUAGUCAAGUUAUGACUAAUCCUUGUAUUCAGUUUAAAGGGCCUUGUAGCUAUAUUCAUUUUAUUAAGUUGGUAUUUAGUUUGUUAAUUCCUCAGGGGAGAAAAACAGCAUAGAUGGUUUCCAAAGCAGAGUUUUGUUGAUGUCACAAAGCCUAAAAGUUUAAAGAGGUUUACUAAAAUAUUCUCCUUAUCCCAACUACCUUCUGGAUCCUGAACAAGGGUGAAGUCCACCCAAGAUUAAGACAUUUGUCAAUGUUUCCCAUCUACGACAUUGUAAUAGUCCUGGUUCUCUGUCUAUGCCUGAUCUCAAGGACAAGAUUCACAUCAGGAAAAGGUUUAAAUGCCUGUGUCUCACCUCAUGGAUAAUUUGUUUUCUGUUUAACUCUGUAAAAAGUGUUUUUGUUCAAAUAAAUUCCCGGUUGGCUGAAGAGUUA
Long non-coding RNA from Girardinichthys multiradiatus, 2360 nucleotides. RefSeq lists it as uncharacterized. Lineage: Eukaryota; Metazoa; Chordata; Actinopteri; Cyprinodontiformes; Goodeidae. The record is from RefSeq and is a predicted model, not a curated record. The transcript has 4 exons.